This 506-nucleotide ribosomal RNA is filed under the name uncultured bacterium. RNAcentral describes it as "bacterial SSU rRNA". It matches the Rfam family "Bacterial small subunit ribosomal RNA", at positions 29 to 518 of the family's 1533-position model. The record is from RNAcentral.
AUGAACGCUGGCGGCGUGCUUAACACAUGCAAGUCGAACGAAGCAUCUCGCCCGAUGAAGUGGAGUGCUUGCACAAAGCGGAUUCAAUUGAGAUGACUGAGUGGCGGACGGGUGAGUAACGCGUGGGUAACCUACCCUUAUCAGGGGGAUAACAGUUGGAAACGACUGCUAAUACCGCAUAAGCGCACAGUAUCGCAUGAUACAGUGUGAAAAGCCUUUACGGAUAAGGAUGGACCCGCGUCUGAUUAGCUAGUUGGUGAGGUAACGGCCCACCAAGGCGACGAUCAGUAGCCGGCCUGAGAGGGUGAACGGCCACAUUGGGACUGAGACACGGCCCAAACUCCUACGGGAGGCAGCAGUGGGGAAUAUUGCACAAUGGGGGAAACCCUGAUGCCAGCGACGCCGCGUGAGUGAAGAAGUAUUUCGGUAUGUAAAGCUCUAUCAGCAGGGAAGAAAAUGACGGUACCUGACUAAGAAGCCCCGGCUAACUACGUGCCAGCCGCCGC